AACGUAGGUGGCAAGCGUUAUCCGGAUUCACUGGGCGUAAAGCGCACGCAGGUGGCCUGACAGGUAGGGCAUGAAAUCUCCCGGCUUAACUGGGAGCAGCUGUCCUAAACCGUCGGGCUUGAGGAUAGGAGAGGGGAGUGGAAUUGCCGGUGUAGUGGUGAAAUGCGUAGAGAUCGGCAGGAACACCAGUGGCGAAAGCGGCUCCCUGGCCUACUCCUGACACUCAAGUGCGAAAGCUAGGGGAGCGAACGGG
RNAcentral lists this ribosomal RNA (253 nucleotides) under uncultured bacterium. RNAcentral describes it as "partial 16S ribosomal RNA". It matches the Rfam family "Bacterial small subunit ribosomal RNA", at positions 524 to 776 of the family's 1533-position model. The record is from RNAcentral.